AGCAGCCGCGGUAAUUCCAGCUCCAAUAGCGUAUAUUAAAGUUGUUGCAGUUAAAAAGCUCGUAGUUGAAUUUCGGGAUCAGUUGAUCGGUCGUGCCUCGGUACGUACUGGUCAAAUUGAUUCCUACCUUCUGACGAACCACGAUGUCAUUAAUUUGGUGUCGCGGGAAAUCAGGACUGUUACUUUGAAAAAAUUAGAGUGUUUAAAGCAGGCUCGCGCUUGAAUACAUUAGCAUGGAAUAAUGAAAUAGGACGUUUGAUUCUAUUUUGUUGGUUUCUAGGAUUGACGUAAUGAUUAAUAGGGAUAGUUGGGGGCAUUAGUAUUCAAUUGUCAGAGGUGAAAUUCUUGGAUUUAUUGAAGACUAACUACUGCGAAAGCAUUUGCCAAGGAUGUUUUCAUUAAUCAAGAACGAAAGUUAGGGGAUCGAAGACGAUCAGAUACCGUCGUAGUCUUAACCAUAAACUAUGCCGACUAGGGAUCGGAUGAUGUUAAUUUUUUAAUGACUCAUUCGGCGCCUUAC
RNAcentral lists this unclassified non-coding RNA (520 nucleotides) under uncultured Glomus. RNAcentral describes it as "SSU rRNA". It matches the Rfam family "Eukaryotic small subunit ribosomal RNA", at positions 569 to 1091 of the family's 1831-position model. The record is from RNAcentral. Lineage: Eukaryota; Fungi; Glomeromycota; Glomeromycetes; Glomerales; Glomeraceae.